Molecule: long non-coding RNA, 678 nt
Organism: Meriones unguiculatus (Mongolian gerbil)
Lineage: Eukaryota; Metazoa; Chordata; Mammalia; Rodentia; Muridae
Exons: 3
Source: RefSeq, a predicted model, not a curated record
UCCUGGCUCUAUUCAAAAGAAAAGGAAAGAUUAGGAACUCUGUCCAUACUGCUGAAUGUCAGCCUGGCUAUGGACUGUACAGGGCUAAAUCAUCCAUGGAGAAAGAUGCAUGUACUUGAACGGCUUGACCCCCUCCCCUGGUGGAUACUUCCUGGGAAGGAAAAAGUCAGCAGAUUGCUUGGAAUGUUGCAGGAUGUUGGUCUCAGUGUGGAGAUGGAUGCGACAUUACCAAACGUGUAGAAAGUUCACGGGAGGACUCCAGCAAAGACUUGAAGUCAUCUCUACUGCUCCAUUUCCAGACGCAGGGCUGGCGCAUGCUUUGAGCACAUUGGGAGCAGGCUUUUGGCAAGACCUGACUAAAUGUGAACACUGCUGAAAAGGACAUUAAGCAACGUCUGCAAAGAAGGAAAUGAACAAUAACAGAAAUCCAUUGUCUUCAAGAAAGAAUAAAGAGCACGUGCUGGGACACUCUGCCCUUUCAGCGACUUCCUGUGCUCCAACAUUCCCGAGACUGAAAUCUUCCUGGUUCUGUGCAAUGUCGUAUCAUUACUAGAAAUUAUCUUGUUUGAAAGAAUUUUUUUAAAAAAUGAAUGUCAUUACAUUUGUGCAUGUGUAAUUCCCCUUGCGUGUACUUAUCUGAGAGAUAACCUAUAACAUUUUAUUAACUAGUGGUAGGCA